UCAGAUAUUUUUGGCAGUUAUCAAAGGGCCC
Molecule: non-coding RNA, 31 nt
Filed under: Mus musculus (house mouse)
Lineage: Eukaryota; Metazoa; Chordata; Mammalia; Rodentia; Muridae
Source: RNAcentral